Molecule: non-coding RNA, 178 nt
Filed under: Platyophrya macrostoma
Lineage: Eukaryota; Ciliophora; Colpodea; Cyrtolophosidida; Platyophryidae
Source: RNAcentral
AGAACCCCGAAGACGAUGCUCGUCUUUGCACUAUCGUCGUGGGGCAUUGCGUUGGUGUCCCCUUUGGUUCUGCUGGCCUCGGGUAAGGGCGCCCGGGACGCCACGUCGUGGAUCUCGCGUUGCUUUUUCACGUACGUCGUUCCUGUGCUGCCGCUCAUCAUGCUCCACGACUCGAUGG